GAUUCUGGCUCAGGAUGAACGCUAGCUACAGGCUUAACACAUGCAAGUCGAGGGGCAGCAUGAGAUCAGCUUGCUGAUCUUGAUGGCGACCGGCGCACGGGUGAGUAACGCGUAUCCAACCUUCCCCCUACUCAGGCAUAGCCCGGUGAAAACCGGAUUAACUCCUGAUAGUUUCACUAGAUGGCAUCUGACGGUGAAUAAAGCUCCGCGGUAAGGGAUGGGGGAUGCGUCUGAUUAGCUUGUUGGCGGGUAACGGCCCACCAAGGCGACGAUCAGUAGGGGUUCUGAGAGGAAGGUCCCCCACAUUGGAACUGAGACACGGUCCAAACUCCUACGGGAGGCAGCAGUGAGGAAUAUUGGUCAAUGGGCGCGAGCCUGAACCAGCCAAGUAGCGUGCAGGAAGACGGCCCUAUGGGUUGUAAACUGCUUUUGUGCGGGAAUAAAGUCAGGGACGUGUCCCUGUUUGCAUGUACCGCAAGAAUAAGGACCGGCUAAUUCCGUGCCAGCCGCAGC
This 513-nucleotide ribosomal RNA is filed under the name uncultured bacterium. RNAcentral's name for it is "bacterial SSU rRNA". It matches the Rfam family "Bacterial small subunit ribosomal RNA", at positions 15 to 518 of the family's 1533-position model. The record is from RNAcentral.